GAUGAACGCUCGCUACAGGCUUAACACAUGCAAGUCGAGGGGCAGCAUGGCCUUAGCUUGCUAAGGCCGAUGGCGACCGGCGCACGGGUGAGUAACACGUAUCCAGCCUGCCGUCUACUCUUGGACAGCCUUCUGAAAGGAAGAUUAAUACAAGAUGGCAUCAUGAGUCCGCAUGUUCACAUGAUUAAAGGUAUUCCGGUAGACGAUGGGGAUGCGUUCCAUUAGAUAGUAGGCGGGGUAACGGCCCACCUAGUCUUCGAUGGAUAGGGGUUCUGAGAGGAAGGUCCCCCACAUUGGAACUGAGACACGGUCCAAACUCCUACGGGAGGCAGCAGUGAGGAAUAUUGGUCAAUGGGCGCAGGCCUGAACCAGCCAAGUAGCGUGAAGGAUGACUGCCCUAUGGGUUGUAAACUUCUUUUAUAAAGGAAUAAAGUCGGGUAUGGAUACCCGUUUGCAUGUACUUUAUGAAUAAGGAUCGGCUAACUCCGUG
This 490-nucleotide ribosomal RNA is filed under the name uncultured bacterium. Its description in RNAcentral is "partial 16S ribosomal RNA". It matches the Rfam family "Bacterial small subunit ribosomal RNA", at positions 28 to 507 of the family's 1533-position model. The record is from RNAcentral.